This 431-nucleotide ribosomal RNA is filed under the name uncultured bacterium. Its description in RNAcentral is "partial 16S ribosomal RNA". It matches the Rfam family "Bacterial small subunit ribosomal RNA", at positions 338 to 795 of the family's 1533-position model. The record is from RNAcentral.
CCUACGGGUGGCAGCAGCAAGGAAUCUUCCGCAAUGGGCGAAAGCCUGACGGAGCAACGCCGCGUGUGGGAUGACGCCUUUCGGGGUGUAAACCACUUUUCUCAGGGAAGCGGUACCUGAGGAAUAAGGACCGGCUAACUACGUGCCAGCAGCCGCGGUAAUACGUAGGGUCCGAGCGUUGUCCGGAGUUACUGGGCGUAAAGCGCGCGCAGGCGGCGGUGUAAGCAUGGCGUGAAAGCCCCAGGCUCAACCUGGGAGGGUCGUCGUGGACUGCACCGCUUGAGGGCGAUAGGGGCUGGUGGAAUGCCUGGUGUAGUGGUGAAAUGCGUAGAGAUCAGGCGGAACACCCGUGGCGAAGGCGGCCAGCUGGUCUCCCUGACGCUGAGGCGCGAAGGCGUGGGGAGCGAACGGGAUUAGAUACCCUAGUAGUC